GAUGAAGAACGCAGCGAAAUGCGAUACGUAAUGUGAAUUGCAGAAUUCAGUGAAUCAUCGAGUCUUUGAACGCACAUUGCGCCCCCUGGUAUUCCGGGGGGCAUGCCUGUCCGAGCGUCAUUGCUGCCCUCAAGCACGGCUUGUGUGUUGGGCCUCCGUCCUCCUCCCGGGGGACGGGCCCGAAAGGCAGCGGCGGCACCGCGUCCGGUCCUCGAGCGUAUGGGGCUUCGUCACCCGCUCUUGUAGGCCCGGCCGGCGCUUGCCGACACAUCAAUCUUUUUUCCAGGUUGACCUCGGAUCGGGUAGGGAUACCCGCUGAACUUAAGCAUAUCAAUAAGCGGAGGA
This 345-nucleotide unclassified non-coding RNA is filed under the name soil metagenome. RNAcentral describes it as "partial contains 5.8S ribosomal RNA, internal transcribed spacer 2, and large subunit ribosomal RNA". The stretch from base 1 to 120 matches the Rfam family "5.8S ribosomal RNA", at positions 35 to 154 of the family's 154-position model. The record is from RNAcentral.